RNAcentral lists this ribosomal RNA (1326 nucleotides) under Dodona dipoea. Its description in RNAcentral is "l6S ribosomal RNA". Lineage: Eukaryota; Metazoa; Arthropoda; Insecta; Lepidoptera; Riodinidae. The record is from RNAcentral.
AAAAAUAAAAUUAAUAAAAUAAAAAAUAAUAAAAAUAAUUUUAAUAUAAAAUAUAAUAAUGGGGGUUAAAGUAUUUAUAUAGAAAAAAUUAUAAAUUUUAUAGUUAAUUAGUAUUGUAAAAUAAAUUUGAAAUAAAUAAAAAUAAAAUUAAUAAAAAGUAAAUUUAAAUUAUUGUAUCUUGUGUAUCAGAGUUUAUUAAAAAAAUUUUUUUCUUAAAAAAAUUUCGAAUUUAAAAGAGAUAAUUAAUUAAAAAAGUUAAUGUGACAUAAUUAUUUUAAAUAAUUAAUUUGAAAUGAAAUGUUAAUCGUUUUUAAAUAUAUCUAAUUUUUUUAGAAAAAAAUUUAAUUUUAAAAUUUUUAUAAAAUAAAAAUUAAUUAAUAAUAAUUUUUAUAAUAAAAAUUUAAAUAUUUUAAGGGAUAAGCUUUAAAUUAAAUUUUUAUAAUAAAAUUAAAAAAUUUUAAAAUUUUUAAAAUUUAAAUUGUUUAAAAAUUAAAAUUUAUUAAAAAAUAUUUUAAAAUAAAUAAAAUUUAAUUAAAAUUUAAUUUUUUAUAAAAAAAUAUUGUCCAAUAAAAAAAUAAAAGAUAUAAUGAUAAAAUUAGUAUAAAUAAUAAAUAAAAUAUAUAAUUAGAAAUAAAGUAAUUUAAAGGAAUUCGGCAAAAUUAUAUAUUCACUUGUUUAUCAAAAACAUGUCUUUUUGAAUAAUAAUUUAAAGUCUAAUCUGCCCACUGAUAAUAAUUAAAGGGCUGCAGUAUAUUGACUGUACAAAGGUAGCAUAAUCAAUAGUCUUUUAAUUGAAGACUUGAAUGAAAGAUUGAAUGAAAUAUAAACUGUCUCUAAGUUAAAUUUAAAACUUAAUUUUUUAGUUAAAAAGCUAAAAUAAAUUUAAAAGACGAGAAGACCCUAUAGAGUUUAAUAAUAUAAAAAUUUUUUAUAAAAUAUAAAAUAAGUCAUAAAAAUUUUUUAAAUUAUUUUAUUGGGGUGAUAAAAAAAUUUAAUAAACUUUUUGUAAAAUUUAACAAAAAUAAAUGAUUAAAUGAUCCAUUAUUUAUGAUUAUAAGAAUAAAUUACCUUAGGGAUAACAGCGUAAUAUUUUUUUUUAGUUCAAAUAAAAAAAAAAGUUUGCGACCUCGAUGUUGGAUUAAGAUAAAAAUUAAAUGCAAAAGUUUAAAUUUUUGAUCUGUUCGAUCAUUAAAAUCUUACAUGAUCUGAGUUCAAACCGGUGUAAGCCAGGUUGGUUUCUAUCUUUAAAUAAAUAAAAUAUUUUAGUACGAAAGGAUCAAAUAUUUAAAAUAAUUUUAUUAAAAGAAUUUUAUUAAUUAGAUUAUA